UACGAAGGGGGCAAGCGUUGUUCGGAAUUACUGGGCGUAAAGGGCGCGUAGGCGGCUUAUCAAGUCAGGCGUGAAAUUCCCGGGCUCAACCUGGGGGCUGCGCUUGAUACUGAUUGGCUUGAAUGCGGGAGAGGAUAGUGGAAUUCCCAGUGUAGAGGUGAAAUUCGUAGAUAUUAGGAAGAACACCAGUGGCGAAGGCGGCUCACUGGCCCGGUACUGACGCUGAGGCGCGAAAGCGUGGGGAGCAAACAGG
Molecule: ribosomal RNA, 253 nt
Filed under: uncultured bacterium
Lineage: Bacteria
Description: partial 16S ribosomal RNA
Rfam family: Bacterial small subunit ribosomal RNA
Source: RNAcentral